Molecule: unclassified non-coding RNA, 382 nt
Filed under: uncultured fungus
Lineage: Eukaryota; Fungi
Description: partial contains 5.8S ribosomal RNA and internal transcribed spacer 2
Rfam family: 5.8S ribosomal RNA (bases 1-133)
Source: RNAcentral
UGGCUCUCGCAUCGAUGAAGAACGCAGCGAAAUGCGAUAAGUAAUGUGAAUUGCAGAAUUCAGUGAAUCAUCGAAUCUUUGAACGCACCUUGCGCUCCUUGGUAUUCCGAGGAGCAUGCCUGUUUGAGUGUCUUGAAGUCAUCAACCCCUCCCGGUUUUGCACUGGGUGGUUGGGUUGGAGAUGAGGGCUUGCUGCCUGUGAAAGGGCGGCUCCCUUCAAAUGCAUCGGUUGGACCUGUGGGUCGAACUCGACUGGGCGUUGUACCAUCCUCGCUCGACAGAGACGUUCCCCGUUUGGUGUCCUUCCACGACCUUUGCCUGUGGAGUGGCGGUCAACACAACUUUGCAAUCUGACCUCAAAUCAGGUAGGACUACCCGCUGA